UUAUUUUUAUUGCCAAAAAAAAAAAAAACACUUCUUGUUACAUGUACGUUAUCACCAUUAUUAUUUUCCCUUAGAAAAACCUUAUCAACUUAUGAAAUACGCAUCCGCCAUUAAAAAAUAAAAAUUUAAAGAGGAAGAUGUUACAAAGAAAUAUGGAGACAACGAACAAUAAAAAAAAAAAAAAAAAAAAAUUGAAUAAAAACCACAACACGUUCAAUGUAAUUUGAAUCACAAUUAAAUUCAGCCCCUUCCACAACCAUUUUCAUCACCACAAAAUCCUUACCCACACUAUACUCUUCAACUCAAUCUUCAAAAUUAACCCAUGAAUACGCAUUUGAUUUUGAUUACUUGAUCUAGGGUUUCAAAAUACAAUCCCCUAAAUCAUAAUUCAAAAUAAACCCAAAUAACUAAUGAAACCUUAAACCCAUAAUAACUAAACUUAAAGGGAACUAAGAGGUGGCGACGAAAGGAAGAAGAAACAAAGCAGCCGACGCUCUAGAGUGGCGCGGUGGUAAUCGCGGUAGUUGAUGUUCCUCAUUUAGUAAUAUGAAGAUUAAGAAGAAACAAAGAAGAUGAAGAAGAAUAAAAAGAAAUGGAGAAGAAGAAGAGAAGUGCUGGAGAAGAAACGGAGAAAAAGACGAAGAAAAAAGAGAAAAAAUAGAGAAGAAGAAGAAAUGGAGAAGAAGAAAGAGAAAAACGAAAUGGCGGAAUAAAAAAACGACAAAAAUAAAGAGAACUUUUAUUAAAAUUAAUUUAAGUCAUGGAUUUCUGAUUUUACCCUUCCACCGUUAAAUUUAACUGAAAAAAUGACGUAAUUCGAAGCUCUGUACAACGAGUCAAUUUUAUUGGGUGUGCAAUGUAAAAGAUCAAUUUAUUUAAGGUGGAUGAAAAAUGAAGAAUUUCUCUGUUCAUAAUUAUAUUUCUCUGUUUAUAAUUAAAAUAUACAAAUAAUAAUUUUUUU
Molecule: long non-coding RNA, 961 nt
Filed under: Citrus maxima (pomelo)
Lineage: Eukaryota; Viridiplantae; Streptophyta; Magnoliopsida; Sapindales; Rutaceae
Description: long non-coding RNA (CMAX_LNC002656)
Source: RNAcentral